CAAAAGCUUGGUCCUGACUCUACUAUCAACUUUAGCUAGACUUACACAUGCAAGUAUCCGCACCCCUGUGAGUAUCGCCCCAAAAGCCCCAUAACCCGGAGAGAAGGAGCCGGCAUCAGGCACAUUUCCCAUAGCCCAAGACGCCUCGCCUAGCCACACCCCCAAGGGAACUCAGCAGUGAUAGACAUUAGGCUAUAAGUGAAAACUUGACUUAGUCAAAGCUAAGAGGGCCGGUAAAACUCGUGCCAGCUACCGCGGUUAAACGAGCGGCCCAAGUUGAUAGGCUACGGCGUAAAGCGUGGUUAGGGGGAAAUACCUAAAAACUAAAGCCGAAUGCCAUCAUGGCUGUUAUACGCUCACGAUGGUUAGAAGCCCAAUCACGAAAGUAGCUUUAAAACGACCUGAACCCACGAAAGCUAGGACACAAACUGGGAUUAGAUACCCCACUAUGCCUAGCCCUAAACACCAAUAGUUCAAGACAUCCACUAUUCGCCCGGGUACUACGAGCAUUAGCUUAAAACCCAAAGGACCUGGCGGUGCUUUAGAUCCACCUAGAGGAGCCUGUUCUAGAACCGAUGACCCCCGUUCAACCUCACCUCUCCUUGCUCCUUCCAGCCUAUAUACCGCCGUCGCCAGUUUACCCCUUGAGGAACCCACAGUAAGCAAAAUUGGUAUAGCCCAGAACGUCAGGUCGACGUGUAGCGUAUGGAGAGGGAAGAAAUGGGCUACAUUCCCUAACACAGUGAAUACGAAAGGUGCGCUGAAACGCGCGCCAUGAAGGAGGAUUUAGCAGUAAGCAGGAAAUAGAGCGUCCCGCUGAAAUUGGCCCUGAAGCGCGCACACACCGCCCGUCACUCUCCCCGAGCUUAAAUAAAAAUUUAACUAAAACCCCAAACUUGCAAAGGGGAGGCAAGUCGUAACAUGGUAAGUGUACCGGAAGGUGUACUUGGAACAAA
RNAcentral lists this ribosomal RNA (956 nucleotides) under Pelates quadrilineatus (fourlined terapon). RNAcentral describes it as "12S ribosomal RNA". It matches the Rfam family "Bacterial small subunit ribosomal RNA". Lineage: Eukaryota; Metazoa; Chordata; Actinopteri; Centrarchiformes; Terapontidae. The record is from RNAcentral.